CAGUCGCGCGGGAAUACGUAGGUGGCAAGCGUUGUCCGGAAUUAUUGGGCGUAAAGGGCUCGCAGGCGGUUUCUUAAGUCUGAUGUGAAAGCCCCCGGCUCAACCGGGGAGGGUCAUUGGAAACUGGGAAACUUGAGUGCAGAAGAGGAGAGUGGAAUUCCACGUGUAGCGGUGAAAUGCGUAGAGAUGUGGAGGAACACCAGUGGCGAAGGCGACUCUCUGGUCUGUAACUGACGCUGAGGAGCGAAAGCGUGGGGAGCGAACAGGAUUAGAUACCCCAGUAGUCCCUGUCACUUAUACC
This 301-nucleotide ribosomal RNA is filed under the name uncultured bacterium. RNAcentral's name for it is "partial 16S ribosomal RNA". It matches the Rfam family "Bacterial small subunit ribosomal RNA", at positions 509 to 810 of the family's 1533-position model. The record is from RNAcentral.